GUGCUCUCUUUGGCAGUACUUAUACUAAAAUUGGAACGAUACAGAGAAGAUAAGCAUGGCCCCUGUGCAAGGAUGACAUGCAAAUUUGUGAAGCGUUUCAUAAAUUA
This 107-nucleotide small nuclear RNA is filed under the name Castor canadensis (American beaver). The record is from RNAcentral. Lineage: Eukaryota; Metazoa; Chordata; Mammalia; Rodentia; Castoridae.